GGCUUCCAGGAAGACACCACUGACUUUUGAGAGAAAGGCAUGGGAGUAAGAAAGUAAAGAAUUCAGAUCCUUCAAAGAGAGUUGUUGUUUCAUGAAGUACUGAGGAAUCUGUCACAGAAAACAUACACAUAGAAAUCAAAGAGCCCUGUGCCAGAAUGACUGCAGCAAGCAUUUCUUUUCAAGGCAAACGUUGAGCUGCCCUCUGGACUCCAAUGUAAAAGACGUGGAUAGU
Molecule: long non-coding RNA, 232 nt
Filed under: Papio anubis (olive baboon)
Lineage: Eukaryota; Metazoa; Chordata; Mammalia; Primates; Cercopithecidae
Description: lncRNA (ENSPANG00000037175.1)
Source: RNAcentral